UUAGCGGCGGACGGGUGAGUAACACGUGGAUAACCUACCUAUAAGACUGGGAUAACUUCGGGAAACCGGAGCUAAUACCGGAUAAUAUUUUGAACCGCAUGGUUCAAAAGUAAAAGACGGUCUUGCUGUCACUUAUAGAUGGAUACGCGCUGCAUUAGCUAGUUGGUAAGGUAACGGCCUACCAAGGCAACGAUGCAUAGCCGACCUGAGAGGGUGUACGGCCACAUUGGGACUGAGACACGGCCCAG
RNAcentral lists this ribosomal RNA (248 nucleotides) under uncultured Staphylococcus sp. RNAcentral's name for it is "partial 16S ribosomal RNA". It matches the Rfam family "Bacterial small subunit ribosomal RNA", at positions 92 to 334 of the family's 1533-position model. The record is from RNAcentral. Lineage: Bacteria; Bacillati; Bacillota; Bacilli; Caryophanales; Staphylococcaceae.